AGGGCAAAACCACCACAACCACAACAACUACUACGAAUCAAAGACGGCCGCCAAGCCCUGGGUUCGUUCGACAAUUGCUUCAUUUCUUUUACAUCAUCGUGCGUCUCAUCGUAAAGGCCGAGAACCUCUGCACUCUGUUCGAAUACCGCAGCUCUCUUUCGGGAAGGGGCGGACCAGGGAAACUAGGUCCCCCGCCAGGAGGUGGUGGGGGAGGAGGAGGCGCUGAGACUGGUGUGUCCGCAAUGUCCACAAUGGGUUGAUCGAGUUGGGUACAUAAUGUGUCGUUGUCCCAUUAAAUGCUGCCCCUAAUCAGA
Long non-coding RNA from Ornithodoros turicata, 314 nucleotides. RefSeq lists it as uncharacterized. The record is from RefSeq and is a predicted model, not a curated record. Lineage: Eukaryota; Metazoa; Arthropoda; Arachnida; Ixodida; Argasidae. The transcript is spliced from 3 exons.